Molecule: long non-coding RNA, 3506 nt
Organism: Anas platyrhynchos (mallard)
Lineage: Eukaryota; Metazoa; Chordata; Aves; Anseriformes; Anatidae
Source: RefSeq, a predicted model, not a curated record
UGUGUGCCCACCUCCCCACCUGAAACCCAGUAACAAAACCUGACCAGGACAUCUCCCUUUGCACGGUUGUUUUGCAGCCUUCCCAAGGGGUUAUAUGGAGGAGAGAAGCGCAGCGUGGCAGAGCUUGCUCAGAGGUGUUGAAUUGGCUGCAGGGCCUACAGGCAGCAGGAACGAUGAGGAAAGGCCUGCUCUAGGGGCUGCCAUCACCUGCCGCUUUCCACAGAGCUCAUCAGAAAUACUCAGGAUCUCAUUUCUCCCAAAUCCUCUGGUGGUCGCAGCCGAUGCUCCUCCCUGUGCAGCUCCAAGCACGCUGGGUCCUGCUCGAGAAACAGCAUCCAGAAGCUACCGAGUGGCCUGCGCGAGUUAACCGCUCUCAAGCAGCUUUACGAUGGAAAUGGUGCUCUUGCUUUGCAGAGGGGAAGAUUCGGGCGUCGAGGAAUGAAGCGAUUGUUCCUAGAGGUGCAGGAGGGAAGCGAGGGGCUGGAUUGCUGUGCUGCCUUGCCUCCCUCCCACGGCUGAGCGGAUCUGUGCGGGAGCAGCCUCGCUGGCAUUUUGUGGCUCUCCAGCAGGCGUCUGGGGGAGCUUUUCCUGCUGGGCACCAGGCUCUCAGUCUGCCCCUGCAGACAGGAGCCUGCCUGAGGGGUUUUGUCUCCUCCCUGGGUUCUGCACACACAGCAGAAGCGAAGCAGUCUGCGCACGGUUCAAGCCUCUGUUAUGCAGCAGGUGAUGGGAACAGCAGCGCUCAGGAAAUGCUGGUGCCUGAUGUACACACGUAGCUGUGUGGCUCCAGCAGUGCUCGCUUGUCACUGUGUUUCUCUCCCUCUCUCUUUCAAAAACUCAUUUUUUCUCUUAACUUACUUAAAAAUGACACCUGCACAGGGCCCAGGCAAGCCUGUGCAAGGGGCAGCCUCAUCACGGGGUUGCUGAUGGGAAGCAGAUGCCCCUUGUGAAUUGGGGUUGUUAGCAGCCACAGAUGGCUCAGGGCUAAAUUUCCCAGAAGGGUUCCUGAGGGGCAGGGAGAAAUUCAGGUGCAAAAUCCGAAGUGCAGGGGCCUGGUUUCAAGCCAGAGCCUUUAACCCUUUUCUUACACACACACACACCUUUUUUUUUUUUUUUUUUUUUCCCUACUUCUCUGUAAAUCGGUUAAACCAGUAUUUGCCUCAUGCAAGGCGGUGAUGAUGAAUGAACUCCUAAAGCACCGUGCCGUGAUGAAAGAAGAAACACCGCCCUCGGGGAUGCGCUUCGUGGCUUCGGAGCUUAUGCUGGGGACAAAGAGGAGGAGAACACGGGCUGCGAUGCCCGCGCUGACGUUUUCCUGAGGACGAGCAUGAUCUUUUGCAGCAAAAAUCCUGACGCUCGGGCUAAUCGCAAGGGCUCUCUCUCCUCUCUGCCUCAGCAGAGGGCGGCAGAGAUCGGAAGAAAAAAGGCGACAGCAAGCUGCGGCAGCGGCCGGGAAGGGGCGGGGGGAUUCAUCCCCGCUGUGCCUGUACACGAGCAACCCGCUGGGUUGCAGAGGGGGUGCGGGUCCCCCCGGUCCCUCCUGAUUCCCAACCAGCUCAGAAAUCCCAGCGAGGGCUCAGCCCCGCAUCGCUGGUGCGCUUGGAAGGAAGGCGAAUGUCUUUCUGGCCUCUCGGCCUGCGCCUUGCACCAGGUCUCACUCCUGUCCGCUGGCUGGCAGGAGGAAAACGCGGUGGUUAAAGGUUUGCAGGGAACGGAGAAAAGCAAUGCGGAAUGACACCCGCGCCCCAGGCCUUGCUCUGAGCUGGCAGGAAAAUAGAGCGUGCAAAAUGCUCUCCGUGCCUCCUGCCCAGCGGAGGGAAAAACCUCGAGGAGGGACCUUUCCCCCGGCAGCGAUUUGGGUUCAUGCCAUGGCAGCAGUCAGCCCCUUUCCCUCCCUUGGCUUCAGCAGCAGGCACCCGACCAAGACGGUGCCGGGCAGCUCCUGCUUGCCUCCUGGGGCUGGGCUCAUGCAGGUUUGCAGCAGGGGAGCAGAUCUCUGCAGCAGGGUGCAGCAUGGCACCGGCGAGCGGCACAGCACGUCAGCGUCACCCCCUUUCUCAGGCUGCUGCACCUAUAUGGGGCACUGCCCAGCAAGGCAGGCCAGGAAAUGUUACCAAAAACCAAAGGGAAGGCGCUGGGUAUCCAUUGCCCCAGCUCUGCUGGCUGCCUCAAACGUGGGGGAAUUUCCUCAUAAAGUGAUUCAGCUUUGCAUUUUGGGAACGCUACUUGCUGGGCUGUAGAACAGGGUCAUUAGGGCUCCAAUUAUUUCCACCGUAUGACAAUUAUUAGAUUAUAACUUUUGCUUACCAGAAGCUGCAGCAGAAGGAAGGCACCAACAUUGCUUUUCUUUGGCAUGAGCCUCUCCCUGAAGCAGAGCUGUCUGCUGAGGACUUGCAGAUAUAUAUUUGGCAUAUCUUUGAGGGAUUAAACAGUCUAAAAUAUCCACUGGGCUGCUGACUGCUUUGGCACGGUGUCUCGCCUGUUCAGAUAUGACUUUCACUUGUGCCUUUCGCUUAUGCUUUAUUUUUUGGGGCUUAGUUUAUUGCUUCCAGGCAAGUUUCUGACAGUUGUCAGUAUCCCAGGCAGAAAACCUGGUGAAAAAGUCCUGAAAUCUCAGCUGCUGCAGCAUCAGCCUUGUAAGCUCUCAGGCAUUUCUCACUGCGAAAGGAAUGAGCAGGGUGCUUCUUGCUUCUCUGCGCUCUGCUGGGAAAUACCGGGGUUGCAUCCUUCUUCCUCCUUCCUCUGCAGGGGUAUUCAGCUCUUUUUUCCCCACUGCCUCUUUGAUGCAAGACUGACAGGCAAUCUCCAGAUACGGAUCUCCACACGAGUGGGCUCAGCACCGUCUUUACCACCAUUUCUUGCUGCAGCUAAGUUUCAGACUGAAAAUGUUGGCAGCAGCUGUGACGAUGCUGAGGACGGGUGCUGAGGAGUUUCUCAGGCGUGUUCUGUACAUGGGCCCUGAGGUGCUGAGCAGGAGAUAAAUAAGCAGCCCUGCCAGGUGACAAGGGCCAUAGCAUAAGGGGUCGAAGGGUGUUUGUUGGCAUCCUCGAAGAUUUUUUGAAGAUUUGCAGCAGAUUUUUAAAUGUAGGGCUCUAGCUAGGAGACCCACUCUUCUGCCAAGGGCUCGCUCAUCCCUGGGAGCAAUCCCACCUCUCCCAAGCAUGUAAAUAUAGAGAAGGAAAUACAACUGGCCAAAGGCCACAGGUAUACAUAUAAUUGGGGUGAAAACUAUUAGUGGGAAUUCUGAAAAGCCUGAUAAAAGGAGAUUUUAAGGAUGAUUUUUUUUUUUUUUAAGUUAUUUACAAUCUUAUCUGGAGCUCAAAAGAAAACGGCCAGUUUUCCAGUUUUGAAGUUUUUGACUAUAAACCUCAUCAAAAAUGUAUUGAGGAAAAUAUUUCAACAUCUUUUCAGCAAUCCCCCAGCAGGUCUCGCUGUGAAUGCUGAAGGCUCAUUUUAAAAUUGGUUUCUGUAAACAAAGCAACACGCAUCUCUGAAAUUCAUUUUCG